AACGCACAUUGCGCCCUUUGGCAUUCCGAAGGGCAUGCCCGUUCGAGCGUCAUUACACCACUCAAGCCUGGCUUGGUAUUGGGCGUCGUCUUCAUUGGCGUGCCUUCAAUUCUUCGGCUGGACGGUACGAAUCUCAGCGUUGUGGUUUUAUCAAAUCGCUGGCGAAGAGGACCGGACGUCGCCGUAAAAACUUCAUUACAGGUUGACCUCGGAUCGGGUAGGGAUACCCGCUGAACUUAA
RNAcentral lists this unclassified non-coding RNA (240 nucleotides) under uncultured fungus. Its description in RNAcentral is "partial contains 5.8S ribosomal RNA, internal transcribed spacer 2, and large subunit ribosomal RNA". Lineage: Eukaryota; Fungi. RNAcentral also lists the same sequence under 1 other name. The record is from RNAcentral.